Molecule: unclassified non-coding RNA, 348 nt
Filed under: soil metagenome
Description: partial contains 5.8S ribosomal RNA, internal transcribed spacer 2, and large subunit ribosomal RNA
Rfam family: 5.8S ribosomal RNA (bases 1-120)
Source: RNAcentral
GAUGAAGAACGUAGCGAAAUGCGAUAAGUAAUGUGAAUUGCAGAAUUCAGUGAAUCAUCGAGUCUUUGAACGCACAUUGCGCCCCCUGGUAUUCCGGGGGGCAUGCCUGUCCGAGCGUCAUUGCUGCCCUCAAGCACGGCUUGUGUGUUGGGCCCCCGUCCCCGGUUUCCCCCGGGGACGGGCCCGAAAGGCAGCGGCGGCACCGCGUCCGGUCCUCGAGCGUAUGGGGCUUUGUCACCCGCUCUGUAGGCCCGGCCGGCGCCAGCCGACACCCAACUUUAUUUCUAAGGUUGACCUAGGAUCAGGUAGGGAUACCCGCUGAACUUAAGCAUAUCAAUAAGCGGAGGA